AGUGAACGCUGGCGGUAGGCCUAACACAUGCAAGUCGAACGGCAGCACAGUAAGAGCUUGCUCUUACGGGUGGCGAGUGGCGGACGAGUGAGGAAUACAUCGGAAUCUACUUUUUCGUGGGGGAUAACGUAGGGAAACUUACGCUAAUACCGCAUACGACCUACGGGUGAAAGCAGGGGAUCUUCGGACCUUGCGCGAUUGAAUGAGCCGAUGUCGGAUUAGCUAGUUGGCGGGGUAAAGGCCCACCAAGGCGACGAUCCGUAGCUGGUCUGAGAGGAUGAUCAGCCACACUGGAACUGGGACACGGUCCAGACUCCUACGGGAGGCAGCAGUGGGGAAUAUUGGACAAUGGGCGCAAGCCUGAUCCAGCCAUACCGCGUGGGUGAAGAAGGCCUUCGGGUUGUAAAGCCCUUUUGUUGGGAAAGAAAAGCAGCAGGUUAAUACCCCGCUGUUCUGACGGUACCCAAAGAAUAAGCACCGGCUAACUUCGUG
RNAcentral lists this ribosomal RNA (492 nucleotides) under uncultured bacterium. Its description in RNAcentral is "partial 16S ribosomal RNA". It matches the Rfam family "Bacterial small subunit ribosomal RNA", at positions 29 to 507 of the family's 1533-position model. The record is from RNAcentral.